RNAcentral lists this ribosomal RNA (561 nucleotides) under Brevundimonas sp. LCK-2009.3. RNAcentral describes it as "bacterial SSU rRNA". It matches the Rfam family "Bacterial small subunit ribosomal RNA", at positions 78 to 662 of the family's 1533-position model. Lineage: Bacteria; Pseudomonadati; Pseudomonadota; Alphaproteobacteria; Caulobacterales; Caulobacteraceae. The record is from RNAcentral.
GGAUCCUUCGGGGUUAGUGGCGGACGGGUGAGUAACACGUGGGAACGUGCCUUUAGGUUCGGAAUAAGCUCGGGAAACUGGGUCUAAUACCGAAUGUGCCCCCUGAUUUAUUUUGGGGUGGGAAAGAUUUAUCGCCUUUAGAGCGGCCCGCGUCUGAUUAGCUAGUUGGUGGUGUAAUGGACCCCCAAGGCGACGAUCAGUAGCUGGUCUGAGAGGAUGACCAGCCACAUUGGGACUGAGACACGGCCCAAACUCCUACGGGAGGCAGCAGUGGGGAAUCUUGCGCAAUGGGCGAAAGCCUGACGCAGCCAUGCCGCGUGUAUGAUGAAGGUCUUAGGAUUGUAAAAUACUUUCACCGGUGAAGAUAAUGACUGUAGCCGGAGAAGAAGCCCCGGCUAACUUCGUGCCAGCAGCCGCGGUAAUACGAAGGGGGCUAGCGUUGCUCGGAAUUACUGGGCGUAAAGGGAGCGUAGGCGGACAUUUAAGUCAGGGGUGAAAUCCCAGAGCUCAACUCUGGAACUGCCUUUGAUACUGGGUGUCUUGAGUGUGAUAGAGGUAUGU